CGCGUAGGCGGCGGAGCGUGUCGGAUGUGAAAUCCCCGGGCCCAACCCCGGGAAGUGCGUCCGAAACUGCCCCGCUGGAGGACGGAAGAGGGAAUCGGAAUAUAGGGUGUAGCGGUGAAAUGCGUUGAUAUCCUAUAGAACACCGGAUGCGAAGGCGGAUUCCUGGUACGUAUCUGACGCUGAGGCGCGAAAGUCGGGGGAGCAAACA
RNAcentral lists this ribosomal RNA (208 nucleotides) under uncultured bacterium. Its description in RNAcentral is "partial 16S ribosomal RNA". It matches the Rfam family "Bacterial small subunit ribosomal RNA", at positions 568 to 774 of the family's 1533-position model. The record is from RNAcentral.